This 26-nucleotide small RNA is filed under the name Bombyx mori (domestic silkworm). Its description in RNAcentral is "ovarian small RNA-15855". Lineage: Eukaryota; Metazoa; Arthropoda; Insecta; Lepidoptera; Bombycidae. The record is from RNAcentral.
GAGCUGGCAACGGUGGCUGCCCGGGA